CUAUUGAGAAGAUCAGCUUUUGUGAGGACAGAAAGUUCCAGGGUCGAUUCCACGGGCGCAACAAUGACUCUGGCAACCUACACACGUACUUCAGCCGCUGCAACUCUGAAGGAUUCUGGGUAAUCUACGAGAUACCAAACUAUAUGGGCUACUAGUAAAGUAGGUGCUCAGCCCAGGAGAGUACCCAGACUACCAACACUGGCUGGGCAUCACUGACACCAUCAGGUCCUGUCGCAUUAUUAGCAGCGUGGGGGACUCGUGGAGGCUGAAGGUUUGGGGGAAGCCAAUCUUUGAAGGCCAGCUGAUGGAGGUGACAGACAACAUGCCUGUCUUCCACGAGCGCUGGCACAGCUGGGAAGUCCACUCCUGCAACGUGUUCAAAGGCGCCU
This is a long non-coding RNA of Sander lucioperca (pikeperch), 389 nucleotides long. RefSeq lists it as uncharacterized. The record is from RefSeq and is a predicted model, not a curated record. The transcript has 3 exons. NCBI's taxonomy places the organism in Eukaryota, Metazoa, Chordata, Actinopteri, Perciformes, Percidae.